Molecule: ribosomal RNA, 2909 nt
Filed under: Yersinia pestis Pestoides G
Lineage: Bacteria; Pseudomonadati; Pseudomonadota; Gammaproteobacteria; Enterobacterales; Yersiniaceae
Description: bacterial LSU rRNA
Rfam family: Bacterial large subunit ribosomal RNA
Source: RNAcentral
UUAAGCGACUAAGCGUACACGGUGGAUGCCUAGGCAGUCAGAGGCGAUGAAGGGCGUGCUAAUCUGCGAAAAGCGUCGGUAAGCUGAUAUGAAGCGUUAUAACCGACGAUACCCGAAUGGGGAAACCCAGUGCAAUACGUUGCACUAUCGUUAGAUGAAUACAUAGUCUAACGAGGCGAACCGGGGGAACUGAAACAUCUAAGUACCCCGAGGAAAAGAAAUCAACCGAGAUUCCCCCAGUAGCGGCGAGCGAACGGGGAGGAGCCCAGAGUCUGAAUCAGUUUGUGUGUUAGUGGAAGCGUCUGGAAAGUCGCACGGUACAGGGUGAUAGUCCCGUACACCAAAAUGCACAGGCUGUGAACUCGAUGAGUAGGGCGGGACACGUGACAUCCUGUCUGAAUAUGGGGGGACCAUCCUCCAAGGCUAAAUACUCCUGACUGACCGAUAGUGAACCAGUACCGUGAGGGAAAAGGCGAAAAGAACCCCGGCGAGGGGAGUGAAACUAGAACCUGAAACCGUGUACGUACAAGCAGUGGGAGCACCUUCGUGGUGUGACUGCGUACCUUUUGUAUAAUGGGUCAGCGACUUAUAUUUUGUAGCAAGGUUAACCGAAUAGGGGAGCCGUAGGGAAACCGAGUCUUAACUGGGCGUCUAGUUGCAAGGUAUAGACCCGAAACCCGGUGAUCUAGCCAUGGGCAGGUUGAAGGUUGGGUAACACUAACUGGAGGACCGAACCGACUAAUGUUGAAAAAUUAGCGGAUGGACUUGUGGCUGGGGGUGAAAGGCCAAUCAAACCGGGAGAUAGCUGGUUCUCCCCGAAAGCUAUUUUAGGUAGCGCCUCGUGAACUCAUCUUCGGGGGUAGAGCACUGUUUCGGCUAGGGGGCCAUCCCGGCUUACCAAACCGAUGCAAACUCCGAAUACCGAAGAAUGUUAUCACGGGAGACACACGGCGGGUGCUAACGUCCGUCGUGAAGAGGGAAACAACCCAGACCGCCAGCUAAGGUCCCAAAGUCAUGGUUAAGUGGGAAACGAUGUGGGAAGGCACAGACAGCCAGGAUGUUGGCUUAGAAGCAGCCAUCAUUUAAAGAAAGCGUAAUAGCUCACUGGUCGAGUCGGCCUGCGCGGAAGAUGUAACGGGGCUAAACCAUGCACCGAAGCUGCGGCAGCGACACUUAGGUGUUGUUGGGUAGGGGAGCGUUCUGUAAGCCGUUGAAGGUGACCUGUGAGGGUUGCUGGAGGUAUCAGAAGUGCGAAUGCUGACAUAAGUAACGAUAAUGCGGGUGAAAAACCCGCACGCCGGAAGACCAAGGGUUCCUGUCCAACGUUAAUCGGGGCAGGGUGAGUCGACCCCUAAGGCGAGGCUGAAAAGCGUAGUCGAUGGGAAACAGGUUAAUAUUCCUGUACUUGGUGUUACUGCGAAGGGGGGACGGAGAAGGCUAGGCUGGCCGGGCGACGGUUGUCCCGGUUUAAGCGUGUAGGGGGAGUGACCAGGUAAAUCCGGUUGCUUAUCAACCCUGAGGCGUGAUGACGAUGCACCACGGUGCAGAAGCAGUUGAUGCCAUGCUUCCAGGAAAAGCCUCUAAGCAUCAGGUAACAUUAAAUCGUACCCCAAACCGACACAGGUGGUCAGGUAGAGAAUACUCAGGCGCUUGAGAGAACUCGGGUGAAGGAACUAGGCAAAAUGGUGCCGUAACUUCGGGAGAAGGCACGCUGGCGUUAGGUGAAAGGACUAGCUCCUGGAGCUGAAGCCAGUCGCAGAUACCAGCUGGCUGCAACUGUUUAAUAAAAACACAGCACUGUGCAAAGACGAAAGUGGACGUAUACGGUGUGACGCCUGCCCGGUGCUGGAAGGUUAAUUGAUGGGGUCAGCCGCAAGGCGAAGCUCUUGAUCGAAGCCCCAGUAAACGGCGGCCGUAACUAUAACGGUCCUAAGGUAGCGAAAUUCCUUGUCGGGUAAGUUCCGACCUGCACGAAUGGCGUAAUGAUGGCCAGGCUGUCUCCACCCGAGACUCAGUGAAAUUGAACUCGCUGUGAAGAUGCAGUGUACCCGCGGCAAGACGGAAAGACCCCGUGAACCUUUACUAUAGCUUGACACUGAACAUUGAGCCUUGAUGUGUAGGAUAGGUGGGAGGCCUUGAAGUGUGGACGCCAGUCUGCAUGGAGCCAACCUUGAAAUACCACCCUUUAAUGUUUGAUGUUCUAACUCGGCCCCAUGAUCUGGGGUGAGGACAGUGUCUGGUGGGUAGUUUGACUGGGGCGGUCUCCUCCCAAAGAGUAACGGAGGAGCACGAAGGUUAGCUAAUCACGGUCGGACAUCGUGAGGUUAGUGCAAAGGCAUAAGCUAGCUUGACUGCGAGAGUGACGGCUCGAGCAGGUACGAAAGUAGGUCUUAGUGAUCCGGUGGUUCUGAAUGGAAGGGCCAUCGCUCAACGGAUAAAAGGUACUCCGGGGAUAACAGGCUGAUACCGCCCAAGAGUUCAUAUCGACGGCGGUGUUUGGCACCUCGAUGUCGGCUCAUCACAUCCUGGGGCUGAAGUAGGUCCCAAGGGUAUGGCUGUUCGCCAUUUAAAGUGGUACGCGAGCUGGGUUUAGAACGUCGUGAGACAGUUCGGUCCCUAUCUGCCGUGGGCGUUGGAAGAUUGAGAGGGGCUGCUCCUAGUACGAGAGGACCGGAGUGGACGAAUCACUGGUGUUCGGGUUGUCAUGCCAAUGGCAUUGCCCGGUAGCUAAAUUCGGAAGAGAUAACCGCUGAAAGCAUCUAAGCGGGAAACUUGCCUCGAGAUGAGUCUUCCCUGGGGCUUAAAGCCCCCUGAAGGAACGUUAAAGACUAUGACGUUGAUAGGCUGGGUGUGUAAGUGCAGCGAUGUAUUGAGCUAACCAGUACUAAUGAUCCGUGAGGCUUAACCUU